CUUUGAAAAUGAUGAUGCACAUUUUAUUUCCAAUGGGAGAUCCGUCGGCCAUGCCCAUAAGUUAACAGAAAGGUUGGCGAGAGGCAAGAGGCAUGCCCCGAUCCACCCAAAAAGUGAAGAAGAAGGGCCUGAUUGGUGAAACUAGCUCCGAUAGGCCUAAGACUUGUCCUUUCCCGUCGCCCAAGGGAUCAAACUCUACUCCCACUCCCACUGCUCCACCAUCGGAUACCCCUCUGGUUGUUUCUGAGCAGCCAGUCGGUGCACCAUGGUCGAGUUCCCUUGUUGCCCAUUCAAUUCCACCACUCUUCUUUCCCGGCAUAAAAGGGCCUGAGGCUAUUCCAUGAGCAUACGCUGAUGACUACCUCCGAGGUCCGGGCAGAGGACACGAGGUAGCCUGAUGACAUGCCCGUGGAUGAUGAAAUAGACUAUAGUACCUGUAACUGUAAGAUCUCCCAUCAUUCCGUCUGUAUUGGAGAUUUUGACUUCCUGGCUUGCUCAAUGGUGUGUUUGUGAUACAUAAUUCCUCCCAAAUGCUGGAACUUCAUCGGCUUCUUUUUACACCUUGACUCUUGGGUUUAUCCAUGGUGUUUGUUGCUAUUGCUGAGUUGUUCCCGUGUGCAGGGGAUAGCGUUGUGGCUUCUCAAGUUGUAACUUCACCCGCGCUCCCCUAGUUACUGCCAGUCGCCCCAUUCCGCCAAGGCUAAUCAGGGCACCACAUCUCAGUGGACCCUGUGUAGCUGUCGGAUAAGGAUUCGCGCGAUCAAGUCUAUCCUUUCGGAAGCAUUCCAUCUAUCUUUGUCGGACCUCAUCGAUUUUGAUCUCAGACGGUUGGUUGAUGCCCUUCUAGAGGAUCCUUCACAUGAUGAGCAUCUGAAUCGAUCCUUUACCAAGGUAAGAGAGUUUCAAGUAGCUAGACUGCUGGGUUUGAAGCUGAGAAUACGAGAAGGUGAUGCCGGACGUGAGGGAACCAGUGUCUUGACGUCAGCCGGCGUUUGAGUGUGGAAGGAGGUGCUUCCCUGCAGGACUACUCCUACUCCUACUCCUACUCCUAAAGGUGCUUAUCUAUUAGGAUCAAAAUUUAGUACCUUGGUGGGGUGGGUAUUAGACUACCAGCAUCUUUGGUGAAAAUCACAGUGGGUGUCUCUGUUAGAUGGAAAACCUCAUUUCUUAUGACCCGGUUGGCUUUGGUGCCGCUGUCGGGACAUACAUCCAAUAAGGUACCAUUUUGAUCACCUUAUCAUGUGUUUGUUUGGAGGAUUUUGGAAGACUUUCACUAUUCACACAAAAUUUUUCCUCUAAAAUAUUAAACAUCUAUUUUUUUUAUUUUUUAUAUUAUACUAAAAAUCAAUUUCACAUUCAAAAUAUCAAUCAAUACUUAUUUAUAUCACAUCAUAUAACUAUUCAAAUUCAAUUUUUUUACUAUUCAAAUCUCAACUCAAAAUUC
Andrographis paniculata is the source of this 1444-nucleotide long non-coding RNA. RefSeq lists it as uncharacterized. NCBI's taxonomy places the organism in Eukaryota, Viridiplantae, Streptophyta, Magnoliopsida, Lamiales, Acanthaceae. The record is from RefSeq and is a predicted model, not a curated record. The transcript is spliced from 3 exons.